Molecule: ribosomal RNA, 1487 nt
Filed under: metagenome
Description: bacterial SSU rRNA
Rfam family: Bacterial small subunit ribosomal RNA
Source: RNAcentral
AGAGUUUGAUCCUGGCUCAGGAUGAACGCUGGCGGCGUGCUUAACACAUGCAAGUCGAACGAAGCACCUUGAUUUGAUUCUUCGGAUGAAGAUCUUGGUGACUGAGUGGCGGACGGGUGAGUAACGCGUGGGUAACCUGCCUCAUACAGGGGGAUAACAGUUAGAAAUGACUGCUAAUACCGCAUAAGACCACAGCACCGCAUGGUGCAGGGGUAAAAACUCCGGUGGUAUGAGAUGGACCCGCGUCUGAUUAGGUAGUUGGUGGGGUAACGGCCUACCAAGCCGACGAUCAGUAGCCGACCUGAGAGGGUGACCGGCCACAUUGGGACUGAGACACGGCCCAAACUCCUACGGGAGGCAGCAGUGGGGAAUAUUGCACAAUGGGGGAAACCCUGAUGCAGCGACGCCGCGUGGGCGAUGAAGUAUUUCGGUAUGUAAAGCUCUAUCAGCAGGGAAGAAAAUGACGGCACCUGACUAAGAAGCACCGGCUAAAUACGUGCCAGCAGCCGCGGUAAUACGUAUGGUGCAAGCGUUGUCCGGAUUUACUGGGUGUAAAGGGAGCGUAGACGGAGUGGCAAGUCUGAUGUGAAAACCCGGGGCUCAACCCCGGGACUGCAUUGGAAACUGUCAAUCUAGAGUACCGGAGAGGUAAGCGGAAUUCCUAGUGUAGCGGUGAAAUGCGUAGAUAUUAGGAGGAACACCAGUGGCGAAGGCGGCUUACUGGACGGUAACUGACGUUGAGGCUCGAAAGCGUGGGGAGCAAACAGGAUUAGAUACCCUGGUAGUCCACGCCGUAAACGAUGACUACUAGGUGUCGGGCAGCAAAGCUGUUCGGUGCCGCAGCAAACGCAAUAAGUAGUCCACCUGGGGAGUACGUUCGCAAGAAUGAAACUCAAAGGAAUUGACGGGGACCCGCACAAGCGGUGGAGCAUGUGGUUCAAUUCGAAGCAACGCGAAGAACCUUACCUGCUCUUGACAUCUCCCUGACCGGCAAGUAAUGUUGCCUUUCCUUCGGGACAGGGAUGACAGGUGGUGCAUGGCUGUCGUCAGCUCGUGUCGUGAGAUGUUGGUUAAGUCCCGCAACGAGCGCAACCCCUAUCUUUAGUAGCCAGCGGUUCGGCCGGGCACUCUAGAGAGACUGCCAGGGAUAACCUGGAGGAAGGUGGGGAUGACGUCAAAUCAGCAUGCCCCUUAUGAGCAGGGCUACACACGUGCUACAAUGGCGUAAACAAAGGGAGGCAGAACCGCGAGGUCGAGCAAAUCCCAGAAAUAACGUCUCAGUUCGGAUUGUAGUCUGCAACUCGACUACAUGAAGUGGAAUCGCUAGUAAUCGCGAAUCAGAAUGUCGCGGUGAAUACGUUCCCGGGUCUUGUACACACCGCCCGUCACACCAUGGGAGUCAGUAACGCCCGAAGUCAGUGACCCAACCGUAAGGAGGGAGCUGCCGAAGGUGGGACCGAUAACUGGGGUGAAGUCGGAACAAGGUA